Long non-coding RNA from Nothobranchius furzeri (turquoise killifish), 2924 nucleotides. RefSeq lists it as uncharacterized. The record is from RefSeq and is a predicted model, not a curated record. NCBI's taxonomy places the organism in Eukaryota, Metazoa, Chordata, Actinopteri, Cyprinodontiformes, Nothobranchiidae.
UUGCCCGUAGCAAAGCUCACAGCCUCAGUGUGUCUUGUGACACAGGGACCAUGACAGAAAUUCAUCUUCCAGAAAGUCCGAGAGCAUCCACACCCCCUGAAAAGACCAAGAUGUGAGGUGUCUGCUGUUGAUUCCAGCUUCCACCUCAGUGACAGUGCAAGCUCAGUGAACUGUUCAAGGAGGCUACUGAUUCUGGCCCUGUGACACUUGGUGGUGACGUGUGAGCUGAUUCACCUGGACACUCAGCAAAAUAUGGACUCUACACCAUGAGGCAGGCACACGUUAAUAAAUCUAUAAGAGCACAUAAGCCUGGCUGAUCACCUGAUAACUCCUGUCAUCUGGUUAUGACAGCUUGAGGAUGUCCUCACACACCUGUAACCUAUCAGCUCAUCUGGCAGAAUAGAGAGAGAAGAGACAACACCACAUCUCCUGUUCCUGGAAAGCCUUCAGCCAUCCUUCGAUGACUGAGAACCUCCAUCAACUCUGUCUCCUGUCUGCCUACUAUUAUUAUAAUAAAUAUUGUGUUUGACAAGUUUUUUGUGCUGCCAAAUAUCUCAUUUAGAUUCCAGUCUUGAUAUUUUAAUGGAUAUUUAUAAAUUACAUUGAUUAUCACUUUUGUUGCAUGCUUAACUAGCUCUUGUGAUGAAUUAAACUAGCACCUCACUGUUAAAAGCUCGUUUUAAUUUCAAGCAUGUUUAAGUAUUUAUGGACAUGAACAAAAACAGGAAAUAUAUAAAUUGAGAUUUAUUUAAUUAAUAUAACAAAUAAGGGGGAAAGAGUCAUUGAAAGGCACGUUCUUCUGAAAGCUCCUGAUCCUGACGACACCAGCAGGAGACCACCUGCAGACACCAGAGGACCACCUGCAACCAAGAGCAGCUGUUAUCAGUAAAUAAAUAAUGAAAUCAGGGCAGUUUUAGUGGGCUGAACACAUUACUGAAUAAUUUUAUCAUGGGGUAGUUUCAUAACUUUAUGCAGCAGACUGUAACUUGAGCCCAGAGCUGCUAUCCAGCACGUUUCAGUGGUUUUCCUGCUUUUAACAGGUUGGAUUAGCUGUUAAGCAGCUCAGCUAUUUGUUGCUGAUUAAAACCAGGUGUGUUGAAGUAGAUAAAUCUCUAAAACAUGCUGAAUACUAGGGCCGUGGAGACAAACCCUGCAGCUAAUCUGAUGCUAUGGCUAACGGCUACUUACAUUCAGCGAUGGUUCUGUUGGGUCGGUUCUGGUAAUUUCAGGCAACUCACAAGCUCAAAACAAUAAGGCUCAGGUCCGCUUGUCUCCUCCAAAUAGACUUGGUCCCUUUCUUCUUGAGUGUCUGGGUAAGGAGGGGGAGAAACGUCCUCCACUUCUAAUGACUGCUCAGAGUGAAGGGAGCAAGCAUCGUCUAGUUAGCCAUCGUUUCGUCACUGCCGCGGCUCCGCCCUCUCGGUCCUCCAGGCAACGCCUACUAAUGUUGCAGUUUUUAAAAUUGAUACGUGGGUGGAGUAAGACUCUGAGGGGGGAGUGACAACUUCUUUAAAGAGCAAGUAACGUCUAAAUUAACUUUUUUUGCUGAUGAACUGUAUAAAUGAGUGUCUAAUAGUGUUUUAAAUGUGUGUAUUCAUUAUUUUAGCAUUUUGGUGCAUUUUCUUAAAAAAUUAAAAAUUCUGCCUAAAUACCACAGUAUAGCUCCACCUUCAGCUUAAAACAUAGAAUUUGACUCAUUUUGAAUAAAUUUUAGCCAAUGGCUAAAGAGUAAGAUACUACGUAAUCCAGUAGAGUACUACGUAGCAGCUCUGUGUCAACGUUAUAAAAGCAUCGGGAGUCUCGGCCACGCCUUGUGGCGAGUUGGGAGUUGGAUUUGCAUGAGAGUGUAGGAGGCUAGCCGUAGUUCAGCAUUAGCAUAUAGCAUUAGCAUAUCCUAGUCUUUAGCAUAGCUUUUAGUGUUAUACAUACUUAUUUAGUGUUAGCUUGGCUGUUGGAUAUUGUAGUUUAGUUACUGUUUGGCUGUUAGUGUAAUUAGGAAAGUAGUUCGGGUUUAGUGCUCCAUAUCGUGUUAGCAUGGUGAGAUGGUGUAGUGUAGUAUGGUUGCGGAGCUCUGUCGGGUUGCACUCCUUUCCGCUGGACUUAGAAAUUAGGCGCCAGUGGUUGCGUGUCUGGAAAAGAUUCAGCUCCCGCCUGGUGCUGUAGUUUGCAACCAGCAUUUUACCCGCGAUUCUGCACGUCUCCGUUCCAAGAGGGAGGCUGUGCCCACCGUGGCUCUUCCGCGAUUUAGAUACAGCCCACCGACUCUGCUCCCCCACCAUGACGGGCUACAGUCUGAGGCUAAAUCUACCCAAGACACUGGCUGUCAGACUGAUUUAGUAAUCUGCAAGAAUGCACUUGUCCAGGCUGACGUGGUGUUACCCGUAGCAAAGAGCUCACAGCCUCAGUGUCUUGUGACACAGGGACCAUGACAGAAAUUCAUCUUCCAGAAGGUCCCAGAGCAUCCACACCUCCUGAAAAGACCACGGUGUGAGGUGUCUGCUGUUGAUUCCAGCUUCCACCUCAGUGACAGUGCAAGCUCAGUGAACUGUUCAAGGAGGCUACUGAUUCUGGCCCUGUGACACUUGGUGGUCACCACCAGGUGGUGACGUGUGAGCUGAUUCACCUGGACACUCAGCAAAAUAUGGACUCUACACCAUGAGGCAGGCACACGUUAAUAACUCUAUAAGAGCACAUAAGCCUGGCUGAUCACCUGAUAACUCCUGUCAUCUGGUUAUGACAGCAUGAGGAUGUCCUCACACACCUGUAACCUAUCAGCUCAUCUGGCAGAAUAGAGAGAGAAGAGACAACACCACAUCUCCUGUUCCUGGAAAGCCUUCAGCCAUCCUUCGAUGACUGAGAACCUCCAUCAGCUCUGUCUCCUGUCUGCCUACAAUUAUUAUAAUAAAUAUUGUGUUUGACAAGUU